This 148-nucleotide non-coding RNA is filed under the name Nomascus leucogenys (northern white-cheeked gibbon). Lineage: Eukaryota; Metazoa; Chordata; Mammalia; Primates; Hylobatidae. The record is from Rfam by way of RNAcentral.
GCCGGGUGUGGUGGCGCACGCCUGCAAUCCCAGCUACUCAGGAGGCUGAAGCAUGAGGAUCGCUUGAACCCAGGAGGUGGAGGUUGCAGUGAGCCGAGAUCAUGCCACUGCCCUCCAGCCUGGGUGACAGAGUGAGACCCUGUCUCAA